GAUGAACGCUAGCUACAGGCUUAACACAUGCAAGUCGCGGGGCAGCAUGGGGGUUGCUUGCAACCCCUGAUGGCGACCGGCGCACGGGUGAGUAACGCGUAUCCAACCUGCCCUUCACCACGGGAUAACCCGGCGAAAGUCGGACUAAUACCGUAUGUUGUCCAUUGACGGCAUCCGAUUUGGACGAAAGGCUUGGGGGUGAAAGGAUGGGGAUGCGUCCGAUUAGCUUGACGGCGGGGUAACGGCCCACCGUGGCUACGAUCGGUAGGGGUUCUGAGAGGAAGGUCCCCCACACUGGAACUGAGACACGGUCCAGACUCCUACGGGAGGCAGCAGUGAGGAAUAUUGGUCAAUGGGCGUAAGCCUGAACCAGCCAAGUAGCGUGCAGGAUGACGGCCCUAUGGGUUGUAAACUGCUUUUAUGCGGGGAUAAAGUGGCCCACGUGUGGGCUUUUGCAGGUACCGCAUGAAUAAGGACCGGCUAAUUCCGUG
This 491-nucleotide ribosomal RNA is filed under the name uncultured bacterium. Its description in RNAcentral is "partial 16S ribosomal RNA". It matches the Rfam family "Bacterial small subunit ribosomal RNA", at positions 28 to 507 of the family's 1533-position model. The record is from RNAcentral.